This 989-nucleotide ribosomal RNA is filed under the name uncultured Verrucomicrobiota bacterium. RNAcentral's name for it is "bacterial SSU rRNA". It matches the Rfam family "Bacterial small subunit ribosomal RNA", at positions 364 to 1336 of the family's 1533-position model. The record is from RNAcentral. Lineage: Bacteria; Pseudomonadati; Verrucomicrobiota.
UUUCUCAAUGGGGGAAACCCUGAAGGAGCGACGCCGCGUGGAGGAUGAAGGUCUUCGGGUUGUAAACUCCUGUCAUUUGAGAACAAGGUGCACAUGUUAACUGCAUGUGCAUUGAUAGUAUCAGAAGAGGAAGGGACGGCUAACUCUGUGCCAGCAGCCGCGGUAAUACAGAGGUCUCAAGCGUUGUUCGGAUUCAUUGGGCGUAAAGGGUGUGUAGGUGGCGCCGUAAGUCGGGUGUGAAAUUUCGGAGCUUAACUCCGAAACUGCAUUCGAUACUGCGGUGCUUGAGGACUGGAGAGGAGACUGGAAUUCAUGGUGUAGCAGUGAAAUGCGUAGAGAUCAUGAGGAAGACCAGUGGCGAAGGCGGGGUCUCUGGACAGUUCCUGACACUGAGACACGAAGGCCAGGGGAGCAAACGGGAUUAGAUACCCCGGUAGUCCUGGCAGUAAACGGUGCACGGUUUGGUGUGGGAGGAUUCGACCCCUUCUGCGCCGGAGCUAACGCGUUAAACGUGCCGCCUGGGGAGUACGGUCGCAAGAUUAAAACUCAAAGAAAUUGACGGGGGCCGCACAAGCGGUGGAGUAUGUGGCUUAAUUCGAUGCAACGCGAAGAACCUUACCUGGCCUUGACAUGCAUCUCUAAGCUGGUGAAAGCCAGUGACUCCCGAAAGGGAGAAUUUGCACAGGUGCUGCAUGGCUGUCGUCAGCUCGUGUCGUGAGAUGUUGGGUUAAGUCCCGCAACGAGCGCAACCCCUGUGAACUGUUGCCACCGAGCCGAGAGGCUCGAGCACUCUGUUCAGACUGCCCUGUGAAACGGGGAGGAAGGUGGGGACGACGUCAAGUCAGUAUGGCCCUUACGGCCAGGGCUGCACACCGUACUACAAUGCCCAGUACAGAACGAUCCGAGACCGCGAGGUGGAGGUAAUCUAGUAAAACUGGGCCCAGUUCGGAUUGGAGUCUGCAACUCGACUCCAUGAAGCCGGAAUCGCU